AUUUACAUCUAGGUGCAGAGAGAAACCUCCCUCCCUCCACUCUCUCUCUCUCUCUCUCUAACCCACACGCUUGUGCUUUGUGCAAGUAGCACCAGUUCAUUGGGACAUAUGAAGAAGGAAGAGGAGGAUGCCAAUGCCACCAUCUCCUUCAACCUGCCUUCCCUUCCUCACCAUGCUUCCCUGCUCCUCCUCGUCUCCGGGAGGCCAUUCCGGUGACCUCGUCGUCGCCGCCGCCGCCGCCGCCGCCGUCGUCUUCUCUCAGUAGUUCUUCUGCAGAGCCAAGGCAUGGAGGCCGCCAUGCGAGCUUAGCUCAACAAAAUGGAGGAGAUCGAGUUUUGGUGAAGAAGAAACCGUUCCAUGGUACUGAUCAUAUGAUGGUAUGCAGGAAGGCCAGGCAUUUUUUCUCUCUCUGAAUUAAUUCAAAUCCUCUCUUUUUUCUUUCUUUUUCUUUUCUGCUUUCCUCUCCUUGGCACCUGUUGCCGUUCUUGCUGCUUUAAUUAGCUUGCUGAGACUGUCUUUUAGCUCGUUUGAUUAUGAUGUAAGGCCAUUGGUCUUAUCACCAGAAAUUGAGAUGGUCCUGAAGAUUUCAUAUAUAUGACUAUAUAUAUGUAUAAAGUCACCUUUUAAUUGGU
This 632-nucleotide small RNA is filed under the name Oryza sativa Japonica Group (Japanese rice). Its description in RNAcentral is "sRNA Os08g0501900". Lineage: Eukaryota; Viridiplantae; Streptophyta; Magnoliopsida; Poales; Poaceae. The record is from RNAcentral.